This 1433-nucleotide ribosomal RNA is filed under the name Halomonas sp. X48. RNAcentral's name for it is "bacterial SSU rRNA". It matches the Rfam family "Bacterial small subunit ribosomal RNA". The record is from RNAcentral. Lineage: Bacteria; Pseudomonadati; Pseudomonadota; Gammaproteobacteria; Oceanospirillales; Halomonadaceae.
GCUGCGCAGCUACCAUGCAGUCGAGCGGAACGAUGGAAGCUUGCUUCCAGGCGUCGAGCGGCGGACGGGUGAGUAAUGCAUAGGAAUCUGCCCGAUAGUGGGGGAUAACCUGGGGAAACCCAGGCUAAUACCGCAUACGUCCUACGGGAGAAAGCAGGGGAUCUUCGGACCUUGCGCUAUCGGAUGAGCCUAUGUCGGAUUAGCUAGUUGGUGAGGUAACGGCUCACCAAGGCCGCGAUCCGUAGCUGGUCUGAGAGGAUGAUCAGCCACAUCGGGACUGAGACACGGCCCGAACUCCUACGGGAGGCAGCAGUGGGGAAUAUUGGACAAUGGGCGAAAGCCUGAUCCAGCCAUGCCGCGUGUGUGAAGAAGGCUUUCGGGUUGUAAAGCACUUUCAGUGGGGAAGAAAUCCUCGGGGCCAAUACCCUCGAGGGAGGACAUCACCCACAGAAGAAGCACCGGCUAACUCCGUGCCAGCAGCCGCGGUAAUACGGAGGGUGCGAGCGUUAAUCGGAAUUACUGGGCGUAAAGCGCGCGUAGGCGGCGUGAUAAGCCGGUUGUGAAAGCCCCGGGCUCAACCUGGGAACGGCAUCCGGAACUGUCAGGCUAGAGUGCAGGAGAGGAAGGUAGAAUUCCCGGUGUAGCGGUGAAAUGCGUAGAGAUCGGGAGGAAUACCAGUGGCGAAGGCGGCCUUCUGGACUGACACUGACGCUGAGGUGCGAAAGCGUGGGUAGCAAACAGGAUUAGAUACCCUGGUAGUCCACGCCGUAAACGAUGUCGACUAGCCGUUGGGGUCCUUGUGACCUUUGUGGCGCAGUUAACGCGAUAAGUCGACCGCCUGGGGAGUACGGCCGCAAGGUUAAAACUCAAAUGAAUUGACGGGGGCCCGCACAAGCGGUGGAGCAUGUGGUUUAAUUCGAUGCAACGCGAAGAACCUUACCUACUCUUGACAUCGUGCGAACUUUCCAGAGAUGGAUUGGUGCCUUCGGGAACGCACAGACAGGUGCUGCAUGGCCGUCGUCAGCUCGUGUUGUGAAAUGUUGGGUUAAGUCCCGUAACGAGCGCAACCCUUGUCCCUAUUUGCCAGCGAUUCGGUCGGGAACUCUAGGGAGACUGCCGGUGACAAACCGGAGGAAGGUGGGGACGACGUCAGGUCAUCAUGGCCCUUACGAGUAGGGCUACACACGUGCUACAAUGGCCGGUACAAAGGGUUGCGAAGCCGCGAGGUGGAGCUAAUCCCGAAAAGCCGGUCUCAGUCCGGAUCGGAGUCUGCAACUCGACUCCGUGAAGUCGGAAUCGCUAGUAAUCGUGAAUCAGAAUGUCACGGUGAAUACGUUCCCGGGCCUUGUACACACCGCCCGUCACACCAUGGGAGUGGACUGCACCAGAAGUGGUUAGCCUAACUUCGGAGGGCGAUCACCACGGCGUACGGC